UGAGUACGAGCGGCUACGGCCGCGAAGUGGAUGAUGUCAAGCUUCCAAGAAAAGCCCUAUACCCGUUAAGGCAUGAUGGCCUGUACCCGAAACCGACACAGGUGGGGUGGUAGAGAAUACCGAGGGGCGCGAGGUAACUCUCUCUAAGGAACUCGGCAAAAUGGCCCCGUAACUUCGGGAGAAGGGGUGCCACCGCGAGGUGGUCGCAGUGAAGAGGCCCAGGCGACUGUUUACCAAAAACACAGGUCUCCGCUAAGUCGCAAGACGAUGUAUGGGGGCUGACGCCUGCCCAGUGCCGGAAGGUUAAGGGAGCUGGUCAGCGCAAGCGAAGCUGGCGACUGAAGCCCCGGUGAACGGCGGCCGUAACAAUAACGGUCCUAAGGUAGCGAAAUUCCUUGUCGGGUAAGUUCCGACCCGCACGAGAGGCGUAACGAUCUGGGCGCUGUCUCGGAGAGAGGCUCGGCGAAAUAGAAUUGUCUGUGAAGAUGCGGACUACGUGCACCCGGACAGAAAGACCCUAUGAAGCUUUACUGUAGCUUGGUAUUGUGCUCGGGCUCGAAAUGCGCAGGAUAGGUGGGAGGCUUUGAUCCAUUGCUUGCGGGUGAUGGUGAGCCACUGGUGAGAUACCACUCUUUCCGAGCUAGAGUUCUAACAGCAACCCGUUAUCCGGGUGCUGGACAGUAUCAGGUGGGCAGUUUGACUGGGGCGGCCGCCUCCUAAAGGGUAACGGAGGCGCGCAAAGGUCUGCUCAGGCUGGUUGGAAAUCAGCCGACGAGUGUAAAAGCAGAAGCAGGCUUGACUGUGAGACCUACAAGUCGAACAGGGAGGAAACUCGGCUUUAGUGAUCCGACGGUUCUGCGUGGAAGGGCCGUCGCUCAACGGAUAAAAGUUACCCUAAGGAUAACAGGCUGAUCUCCCCCAAGAGUUCACAUCGACGGGGAGGUUUGGCACCUCGAUGUCGGCUCAUCGCAACCUGGGGCUGAAGUCGGUCCCAAGGGUUGGGCUGUUCGCCCAUUAAAGCGGUACGCGAGCUGGGUUCAGAACGUCGUGAGACAGUUCGGUCCAUAUCCGGUGCACGCGCAGGAAUAUUGAGAGGAUUUCUCCCUAGUACGAGAGGACCGGGAGGAACGCACCUCUGGUGUGCCAGUUAUCGUGCCAACGGUAAACGCUGGGUAGCCAUGUGCGGAGUGGAUAACCGCUGAAAGCAUCUAAGUGGGAAGCCCACCUCAAGAUGAGUAUUCCCAUGGCAUAAGCCAGUAAGGUCACGGGAAGAACACCCGUUGAUAGGCUCUACGUGGAAGCGCAGUAAUGUGUGAAGCGGAGGAGUACUAAUAGACCGAGGGCU
This 1345-nucleotide ribosomal RNA is filed under the name metagenome. RNAcentral's name for it is "bacterial LSU rRNA". It matches the Rfam family "Bacterial large subunit ribosomal RNA", at positions 1564 to 2925 of the family's 2925-position model. The record is from RNAcentral.